GACGUAGGGCGCGAGCGUUGUCCGGAUUUAUUGGGCGUAAAGAGCUCGUAGGCGGCUUGUCGCGUCGAAUGUGAAAUCUCAGGGCUCAACUCUGACAUGCAUUCGAUACGGGCAGGCUAGAGUCGGUAGGGAGACUGGAAUUCCUGGUGUAGCGGUGAAAUGCGCAGAUAUCAGGAGGAACACCGAUGGCGAAGGCAGGUCUCUGGGCCG
Molecule: ribosomal RNA, 210 nt
Filed under: uncultured bacterium
Lineage: Bacteria
Description: partial 16S ribosomal RNA
Rfam family: Bacterial small subunit ribosomal RNA
Source: RNAcentral